AACGAACGCUGGCGGCAGGCUUAACACAUGCAAGUCGAGCGCGUAGCAAUACGAGCGGCAGACGGGUGAGUAACGCGUGGGAAUCUACCCAACCCUACGGAAUAACGCAUGGAAACGUGUGCUAAUACCGUAUACGCCCUUAGGGGGAAAGAUUUAUCGGGGAUGGAUGAGCCCGCGUUGGAUUAGCUAGUUGGUGGGGUAAAGGCCUACCAAGGCGACGAUCCAUAGCUGGUCUGAGAGGAUGAUCAGCCACAUUGGGACUGAGACACGGCCCAAACUCCUACGGGAGGCAGCAGUGGGGAAUAUUGGACAAUGGGCGCAAGCCUGAUCCAGCCAUGCCGCGUGAGUGAUGAAGGCCCUAGGGUUGUAAAGCUCGUUUCACCGGUGAAGAUAAUGACGGUAACCGGAGAAGAAGCCCCGGCUAACUUCGUGCCAGCAGCCGCGGUAAUGUCAGUGACU
This 459-nucleotide ribosomal RNA is filed under the name uncultured bacterium. Its description in RNAcentral is "bacterial SSU rRNA". It matches the Rfam family "Bacterial small subunit ribosomal RNA", at positions 29 to 536 of the family's 1533-position model. The record is from RNAcentral.